CUCCUACGGGAGGCAGCAGCAGGGAAUAUUGCACAAUGGGCGAAAGCCUGAUGCAGCGACGCCGCGUGCGGGAUGAAGGCCUUCGGGUUGUAAACCGCUUUCAGCAGGGACGAAAAUGACGGUACCUGCAGAAGAAGCCCCGGCCAACUACGUGCCAGCAGCCGCGGUAAUACGUAGGGGGCGAGCGUUGUCCGGAUUUAUUGGGCGUAAAGGGCUCGUAGGCGGUUUGACAAGUCGGAUGUGAAAGCCCGAGGCUCAACCUCGGAAUUGCAUUCGAAACUAUUCGACUAGAGUCCCGGAGAGGGUGGUGGAAUUCCCGGUGUAGGGGUGAAAUCCGUAGAUAUCGGGAGGAACACCAGUGGCGAAGGCGACCACCUGGACGGUGACUGACGCUGAGACGCGAAAGCGUGGGGAGCAAACAGGAUUAGAUACCCUGGUAGUCCACGCCGUAAACGGUGAGUGCUAGACGUCGCGGGUAUUGACUCCCGCGGUGUCGAAGUUAACGCGUUAAGCACUCCGCCUGGGGAGUACGGCCGCAAGGCUAAAACUCAAAGGAAUUGACGG
This 564-nucleotide ribosomal RNA is filed under the name uncultured bacterium. RNAcentral's name for it is "bacterial SSU rRNA". It matches the Rfam family "Bacterial small subunit ribosomal RNA", at positions 336 to 916 of the family's 1533-position model. The record is from RNAcentral.